GACGGAGGUGGCAAACGUUGCUCGGAAUUACUGGGCUUAAAGGGCGUGUAGGCGGUCGUUUAAGUCGGGUGUGAAAAACCUCGGCCCAACCGAGGAAUUGCACUCGAUACUGAACGGCUAGAGUGCGAGAGGGGCAAGUGGAACUCCAGGUGUAGCGGUGAAAUGCGUAGAUAUCUGGAGGAACGCCGGUGGCGAAAGCGACUUGCUGGCUCGUAACUGACGCUGAGGCGCGAAAGCCAGGGGAGCAAACGGG
RNAcentral lists this ribosomal RNA (253 nucleotides) under uncultured bacterium. RNAcentral's name for it is "partial 16S ribosomal RNA". It matches the Rfam family "Bacterial small subunit ribosomal RNA", at positions 524 to 776 of the family's 1533-position model. The record is from RNAcentral.